This 465-nucleotide ribosomal RNA is filed under the name uncultured bacterium. Its description in RNAcentral is "partial 16S ribosomal RNA". It matches the Rfam family "Bacterial small subunit ribosomal RNA", at positions 28 to 507 of the family's 1533-position model. The record is from RNAcentral.
GACGAACGCUGGCGGCGUGCUUAACACAUGCAAGUCGAACGGAAAGGCCCCUUUGGGGGUACUCGAGUGGCGAACGGGUGAGUAACACGUGAGUAACCUGCCCUUGACUUCGGGAUAACUUCAGGAAACUGGGGCUAAUACCGGAUAGGAAUCCUUGCUGCAUGGUGGGGGUUGGAAAGCUUCGGCGGUUUUGGAUGGACUCGCGGCUUAUCAGCUUGUUGGUGGGGUAGUGGCUUACCAAGGCUUUGACGGGUAGCCGGCCUGAGAGCGCGACCGGCCACAUUGGGACUGAGAUACGGCCCAGACUCCUACGGGAGGCAGCAGUGGGGAAUAUUGCACAAUGGGCGGAAGCCUGAUGCAGCAACGCCGCGUGCGGGAUGACGGCCCUCGGGUUGUAAACCGCUUUCAGCAGGGGCGAAGCUUGUGGUGACGGUACCUGCAGAAGAAGCACCGGCUAACUACGUG